UUGGCUGAUUAAAUGUUUCAA
Molecule: non-coding RNA, 21 nt
Filed under: Caenorhabditis elegans
Lineage: Eukaryota; Metazoa; Nematoda; Chromadorea; Rhabditida; Rhabditidae
Source: RNAcentral